This 610-nucleotide long non-coding RNA is filed under the name Eutrema salsugineum. RNAcentral describes it as "long non-coding RNA (ESAL_LNC001220)". The record is from RNAcentral. Lineage: Eukaryota; Viridiplantae; Streptophyta; Magnoliopsida; Brassicales; Brassicaceae.
GUUAACAGAUAAAUCAUGUAUGCACAACAGUCGAACUGUUAAGAGAUAAUCUCAAUAACUAUUUUAAUUUAAACUCGAGAAGAGAGAAUCUAAUAGGAUUAUCGGCAAAGAGAAUCCAGAUUUUAUUCUUUCUGUUCACAUCAAGCUGGCGAGAUAAAAGGAACAAUCCAAAUAUUCCAGACCACGCCGACAUAUAUGGAAAAUCCAACAAUUUGCCCAAUAGAGAUUCUCUUAUGAACUUGACCUUGUCAUCUUCUAAAGCGGCUAUAAGGUCUUAGAUUAUGCAUCUAUGCUCAAUUUCUGAUAGGUUAUAACCCUUUGGCCCCAUGGUUAAAUUCCGGCUGAGAAUAUCCUUCUUGAUAAGUUGAUUGGCCAUCUGCAAAAUAAAACCAAAAAGUUAUUAGUAAACAUCAACAUCAGCAAAUCGCAAACAAAUCCACUUAACUCGAAAUAGGGGGAGUGGCGAAGCAUUGUUACCUCGUCGACAGCUUCACUAUCCGAGAAUUCCUCCCAUGAUCGAUUACAGAGAUAUAGUUAGAGUCACCGGUGCCAUAUCAAACCUUUUUUGGUGUGAGAACGAUAUAAUUUUGGAUAGCGUGUAGGAUUUUAA